Molecule: long non-coding RNA, 7752 nt
Organism: Globicephala melas (long-finned pilot whale)
Lineage: Eukaryota; Metazoa; Chordata; Mammalia; Artiodactyla; Delphinidae
Source: RefSeq, a predicted model, not a curated record
CACGGAAAAGCAGUUCCAACGUCGUGUAUCCAGAGGCGGUGUUAAAAGAAGCUUUCUGAUUGGCCAGAGACUGGCUUGGACCAUCUUCGGGAGGAAUGGGGACUCGUCGUAUCCUCCUGCCCUUCUAGAGGGGACAAGAGAGGACAGAAGGAGCUUGCCACCCUCUCCUGGAGAUGCCAGGUCCCCAGUCUGCCAAACACUGGGGGGCGUCAGGGUAUGUGCCCAGGUGUGGGAUUGCUGCUCCAGCCACUUUAAAACCAAGUCCAUGAAACGCCUGGCUGCUUCCCGGCACAGGGGGAGGACGCCCCCAAUGGCACUGUAACCUUUAUUUCUUGGCCUUGUUGUCGCCAUCCCCCACCAUUUCCCAUCCUGCCUGGUACCUGCCGACGACGUUCCAGUAAUCCUGGAGUUGGAUCUGAAUCUUGUUCCAUCACUUUCUGGCUGGGUGGCCUUAGGUCAGCACCUGACCUCUCUGAGCUUCAAUUUUCUCUUGUGUAAAAUGGGUAUGAUAACGUCGACGUGCACAGCUACUGAGAAGACCAGAUGAGAAAAUACAGAAAGAUGCCUGGCACACAGGAGACGGCUUAUAAAUGUUAGCUCCUUGGAUCUCCUCAGCACCACUGGCACAGGCUGGAACUUUGAAAUAAUAACACCAAUAGCCACAAAAAUCCCAAAACGAAGACAGGAAGAUGUAAACAGACAGAGGACACGGGACGCCCAAAGAGCAAGUUUCUGACACUGUCUAUCCCAUCCGAGUUAGGAUUCCAUCCCUAACAUGCCUGUCCACGGACACUCAGUCUCUGCCCCUCAGUUUCUGCGUCUGUAAAAUGGGGACGAUGAGAGUAUCUCCUCAUACGGCAACAGUGAGGACCACAUGAGGUACAGUGGUGCCUGGCACACAGAGGGAGCGCAGUUCAAUCAAGUCUUAAGUUGAGGUGUGAGGGAGAGUGUUCCUGGGUAGACGGGGGCGGGAUCCAGAGUCCUUCCUCCUAUAAAAAUGCAGGCACACCUCUACCUUUGCCAAGGAAGCCUCACGUGAGGGCCCUGGGGCCAGCUCGCUGGUAUCUUCAUCAUCCAAUCAGGAGACAAGGGGUGGGGCUGGGGAUGGGGUGCAGUUGGCAAAGGGUCAGAGGAUGGGCGGACUCACUCCUCUCCUUUCCCUUAAGAUACUGAAAUUAGCCUAAUGAGGUCUGUCCCUGUUCCGGGCGCUGUGGGAAUUGGACAAAAUUAGAAGCUAUUGACAGGUGAGAGCAUGGCCGCUGAUAGCCCGAGGUGAAAAUGAGAUGAACUUUGAGUCAGCUCCUGGAAGACUCUCUCCUCCCCUCCUUCGUGAUGACCAAGGUGAAGAGGACCGGCCCCCGGUUUAUCACCUCACUUCGAAAUAGCUCCCAGGCUGCGUUUCUUAUAAUUUGGUCUUGCAAACAAGGAUCACUUUCCCACCCCAGAGGACGGGGAGGCCGGGUCAUUUGGGGUCUAGCCGGACGGCCGCAAGGAGCCGGUAAACAGUCCUGGGGGCACACUCUGUGCCAGGCACCACCCUGCGAGCUGUCCCAUUUCGUCCUCGCCAGCUCCCUUAUCCCCAUUUUACUUACAGGGAAACUGAGGCCGAGAGUCACUCAGCCAGGAAGAUUGUGACUCGGGCCUGGCUCGUGGCAGGAUGUGUCUCUUUCUCAGGGCUUGGAGUUGAACAGCCCUGGGUUCUUGAAUCAAGCUGUAACCUCCAGAGGCAGGAGAGGGAUAAAUGGAGAAGGAAAGUCUUCUUUCUGCCCUCACUGCUGCUCCUUUUCUCAGGAGGGCAGUUAUAUAAGGAGGGCUGCUUUCCCUCCUUCGGCUAAAUCUUAUCUAGUGCAGCAUAAGGUCGGGAGCUAGGGGGAGUCCACACGGGAAUAAGAACGAGCAUCCUGCUAAGCACAGAAACCAUUUAUACCUCGAAUGUCCCAGCUCAGCCUGGUGGAGGGAGUGGUAGACUCAGGAGACCUAUAGGUUCCAUCUGGCCAAGGGCUCGCUGGUGACUUUGGCACGUCACAUCUGCUGGGCCUCACUUUCCACGUCUCUCACUGGGGACCACAGCCUCUGUCCCCCAGACCAUGUUGGGCUGGGAUGAGGAUGUAACGAAAUAGGGCAAAACACUGCAUGACUUGGGGCUCUGCCAUCAGGGCUGCGGGCUGGCCCCGAUGUGCAUAUCCUGCCUUGCUUGGAAAUCAAACCCCAUAGGGGCUGGAGGGCUGGAAUUACAGGGAGGCAGGCAUGACUCUCCUUUUGUCCCUCUCAGUUUCUUCCCAUCUUAGACUCCAUUUCAUUUCCUUUGAGAGUGGGUAUUCCACUACUUCCAAAGGGUUUUGAGGUAGCUUACAAGAGAAAGCACGCAAAACAAGAGGAAAGGAACUGUUUCCAGAACACUCACAGUUCUUGCGACAACCUUUGAAGGUGGUUAUUUUUAACCCUGCUUUGGGAUGAGGACGUCCAGAGAGAGGAGAAGCCUUGGCCAUUCACACUGCUGGUAGCAGCACUCUACAGGUUGUAUUUUCUGCCUGACUUCAGGAGUUUCAGCCCGAGGGCUUACUCCCUCCCUCCUGCCUCCCAUGUUAAAUAUGCUACUUAAGGAUAAAAGAGAACAGAUUUUUGCCAGAAGGAAGCAGAAAAAGCAAAUGCCUUCAGGCAUGCAGAAACGACUGCAAGGGUCAGGCAAUCAUUAUGACUAAAUUUUCCAGCCACGGAAACAAAAGCAAACCACGGGCUCUUGAGUUGGAACAGGCUUGAAGCACAGGAAACGGGAUCUGCCACUGGGAUCAGGUUUCAGGGAAACUAACUAGGAUUGCAUGACUGCAUGUGUAUAUGCGGGGUAUGCAGUUCCUGCCGACAGCAUGGCGGGGCAGAGAAUGUCGAGGUUUGAAGCAGCGCCCCAAUGCUGAGUAGCUGUGUGAUCCUGGGCAAGUCACCCCACUUCCCUGAGCCUCAGUUUCCUUGCCUGUACAGUGAGGGCAUGUCUUGUGAUGCUCUUGUGAGGACGGAAGGAAAUGCCACACGGAUGGUGCCCGCUGUUCCCAGCAGCCUGCACGGUCCAUGCGGGCAGGUAUUGGGUACGGAGAAGCCAGGCUGGGGACACAUGCAGGGUGGCAGAGGGUCCUGCCUGGACCUCUGAGUCUCAAUUUUGGCUCUGCUACUGAGUGACCCUGGGCACGUUCCUUAACCGCUCAGUGCCUCAGUUUCCUCAACUACAAACCGGAAGAGCGAUGGCAUCUGUUUUCUAGGCUAAUUAUAAGGCAGUGGUUCUCAGAGUGUCAUCCCCAGACCAUGAGCACCACGUGGGAACUUUGUAGAAAUGCAAACGCUUGGGCCCCACCCCGGACUUAAGGAAUCAGAAGCUCUGGGGACGGGGCCCAGCCAUCUGUGCCGUGAAAAGCCGUCCGUGAUUCUGAUGCCAAGUGCUGUUGGAGACCCGCCGUGGGGAAGGGCAGGUACUUGAGAGAGAACCUGCCACUUACUAGUCUCGCCUGUUACCAAUCGCUGGGUCUGGGGUCACCUUCCACCUUUGAUCACCUUCUCCCUCCUUCUCUGCUUUAAAUCCCCCCUUUACCAGCUCUACACCAGGCUUCCAAGGGUGGCCAUCGAGAAUCAAUCGACCACAUCUAUAAAAGCCUUUGAGCUUCCUGGAAGUAGUUGCCCAGAAGUGGGAAAGCAAAGGGGUAUUAUUAAAACUUUGUCUUUCUACCCACUCCCAUCAACCUGUGAUCCUACAAGACCUGGUAAAUAUCACUCACCUUCAGAGGGGCAAACAGCUAGAGACGGAGGCAGUAUCCCUGGUUCUAGAAUCCCCUAGCACCUGCAAGCCCCAGCCCAAGUGGGUCUCCACCCUUAGCCUGUGGACCUCUCCCUAUACACCAUACUUCCUCAUCAUUGCAUCCCCAGAACUGGACACAUUCAUUCAUCAAACUUUUCUUGUGCCCCUACUAUGUGCCAGGCCCUAUUCUAGGUGCUGGGGUCAGAGCUGAACAAAACAAAGUUCCUGCCCUUGUGGACAUGACAUCCAACCCAGUGGGAGAGAGAGAAGCAAGCAAUAAGUCAGUAAAUAAAAUCGUCUCCGGUAGAUGCUCUUUGACUUUGAAUGAAUGGAUGAAUGAAUGAAGCAGGCGGCACAGGGCAUGUGCUUUGGAUCUGGACAGACCUGAACUCAGAUCUUGACCUUGUUUCUUCCUAGGCAAACUCUUAGCUUCUCUGAGACUCAGUGUCCUUAUCUAUAAAAUGGGGAUAGUAAUAGUAUCCUCAAAGAAGUUGGGAAGACUAAAUGAGUAAAAUGCUAAGCACAGUGCCUGGCACACAGAGGACUCCAUGAAGUUAGAUGUCAUUGCUGUCGUUAUUCAAGGUCACAUAGCUGAGCCUAGAUGCCAACCUGGUCCCCUGUCUAGAGGUGUAUGCACUGGGGCACCUGGAGAGUCCCAGGGCUGGAAGGGACCCUAGUGAUCAGCCAGUGACCUGACCCCUGAUUUUAAAGGGGCACCUGAAGGUCAGAGAAGUUCUGUGACUCGUCCCAAGCCCUACCGGGAGUUGAAGGCAUCCUCCAGCUGGUGGACAGGGCUCAGCCUCUUUGGCCUUUAGAGGGAGUGGGCAGCAAAGCAGAGGGUCUAAAAUAGAAAAUCCUGGGCCCACGAAGGGCUCUUCUUCCCAUCCCGCUGUUUAUUAGGCACCAUCACACCCAUCCUUCCUGUCGCCCUCCGGAUAAAGGACUGUGUUUGGGGGCGGAAGCGGGGAGGGGGCGUGUCUGCAUCUCCCCACCUCAGAAGCACGAGGUGUGGGCCCCCCUGCCUCGGGUGAUCUGUUCUCAUUGCCCAUGUCAUCUCUUGCCCCCCUGUUUUGUUCUGCCCUGAUUUCCAGACUUUCACCAGGUUGGCCUGAGCCUGGACUGUGCUGGCAGACAGACCUGGGUUCGAAUCCAUGUCACCUUGGGCACUGGAGCUGCUCUUUCUGCAUCUGCAUCUGUGUCCUCUGUCAUCCUAAGGUCAGAUGAGGUGACACGUGUGCAGAGUCCAGCAUCGGGCCGGGUGCACGUUACUCACCCUGGUAAUAAUUCUCUCUCCCCUCCCACCCUCAGCAAACCAACCUUCUUGCCCCCUUCUAAACAUGCCCUAAACUUCCCAGCCUUAGUGCCUUUGUUGAUUGAUACCAAGGCCUCGCCUGGACCUCGCUCCACUUGCCCUCCUGGCCUGUGGCAGCCCUGCCCGUGGUCUCCAGAUCCGCACAAGUGCCCACUGUCUCCCGCUCUGAAGAGCUCGUCUGCACCUCCUGGCCUCUGCCUGGUAUUACUGUGUGUUUGUGUAUAAAUCAUAGAGCUGUAAACAUCGUGCAGGUAGAAUAGAAAUAGUGUUGCAGCCGCUAUUUACUGAGCAUUUACUGUGCGCUGGGCACUGCACUCAACACUGCCAUACAUCGUGUCACGAAAUCCUCACAAAAUCCCAGUGAGCUCUGUGUUGCGUUGUGAUGCCCCGUUUAUAGAUGAGGGCUUUACAGUCGGGGCUCAGGGGCCCCCGGCCAAGAAGUGGUGCCUCUGAGGGUUGGGUCUCGUUCCACUUUGCGUCCCCCACUGCCCAGCACAGGGUUGCUACUCAGUAGCAACAGUAAAGAUCUGUUGGGUCUGAUGGAAGAGUUGAGUUAGUGCUUUAAGAUCUGAGUUGGGCAGUUAGGGAGGCAGGGAAGCAGGCCAGGAUCUGACCUGGUUUUCCUUCACCGUGUAGGUCGCUUCUGAGCUGUAGCAUAGUGGCUGCAAAUAAAAAAGGAAGGGAGGUCCAAAGGCCUGAGCUGGGGUCACGGGGGGAACCGAGCUCGGGGUGGAACUGUCCGAUAAGUGACUUAGUGAGGAUGGGGGUGUGGGAGAGACACGCCUCUCACUGGAAUCACCUAGACCAGCCACCCUUUUCCCUCCAGCGCCCUCUGCUCCACCUCCUUUAAAACCACCUCCCUCUUUCCCAGCCACAAGAAGGGCAGCUGGCAUCAGAAGGUCAGGCGGCUCAUUGCAUCUAACCUUUCUAGAGUUUCUCCGUUCUCAUUUCUGGCAUAAAAAUUUAAUAAACGAUGCCCACGUUCAGAUUCCUUGUACAUUUCCCAAGGCAGUUCUGUGUCUGCAGCCGCUUAAUUUUCACAACGAGCCCAAGCAGGUCUUACGAUAAAACUGUACACCCCGUUUGUCAGACACUGGAACCUAGGUGUGGAGAGGUGAUGGUCAAGGUCACAGCUGGUGAAGAGCAGGGAGCGAGCAGAGCAUAGGGGCUGGGCUUCACACUCAAGCUACAGGUGUUUAUUAAAUGCCUGCUUUGGGUUGGGUAUGGGCUAGACACUGGGGCUACAAGGAUGAAUACAGCCUAGCCCCUGUUAAAAAAGUAGUUAACAAACAUGUAUACAGCAAUUCUUCCAUGCCACUGUUCUACACACGUCACACAUUAACAAAUGUAAUCCUCUGACAAUCCUAUAAGAGCAAUCGUUAUCCUCAGUUCAGAGACGAGAAAACGGAGGCCCAGAGUAGUUACUUGAAUCGCCCCAAAUCACACAGCUAGCAAGUGGCCGGGCUGGGAUUUGAACCCAGACAGCACGGGCCCAGAGGCCGAGCACCUACACAUAGUUUUCUCUUAAAUCGGCAGAAAGGAUCAUCACGAGGUCCAGCACUGGUAUGGCAUAGAAUAUUGGACAGAGAUAUUCAGAAUUGGUUCUAAAUCCCCGCUCCCCCACGUAUGUCCUAGCUCUUUGAACAGGCCAAGCACCUUCAACCUCACUUUGCCCAUCUGCAAAAUGGAUAUGAUUCCCAAGGAUGUUGUGAUGCUAAGAAAGAUAAUGAUGCUGGGAUGUGAAUGCUGGUUAGAUCUGAAUGGAGAAGGAUGUGGAAUGGUGGACCGCCAGCCCCUCGUCUGUUCUGAAAGCAAAGCUUGAAAAGCAAGGUCAGGCCAGAUGUUCCUUUUCCUAAUUCCCAGCUCAUCCCUGGCCGGCUGUUUUUUCCUGGCUCUCGUGCAAUUCUGAAAUGGUAUAUUUGGGUGAAGCCGAAACAGGUUUUGAGGCUAAGUUACAGGACACCCAGGACAAGAUGCCGAGGAGGAUAGGAGAUAACGAAUUUCCAUCCCUGGAAUCUGAGAAUGUGAGAGUCAGUAGGUCCUGGGGGAUCAGUUGGCCUCAUUUCCUUGGGUUACAGAUGGGAGACUGAGACCCAGAGCAGGAGAGAGACUGCCCAAAGUCAUAUAGCUAGUUUGGGCAAAGCUGGGACCAAAACUCAGGCAAAAGUACAGACAAAGUUCAGGAAAAAUCCCAAAUUCUCCUGGAUUCCUUACACAGCAAGGAGAAAAAAAAAAAAGAAUCUAUUCCUUUUGGAUUAUUCAAAUCUAGAAAACAAUAUGCCAGUUUUUUCUUUGCCUGGCUUACAUGAGAGAGCUCUCAGACCUAACGGAUUGGCUUUUUUCUUCUAAUCUUGGGGAGUGGGGGACGCUCUCCCCUUCCCAUGGUGGAGGGACAUAGCUCUGAGCUUUUAGCAUCCAAACAUCCUGAGAUCCACCGCGUGCCCAGGCCAUGGCUACUCACCAUCGACCCCAAUCUUGUCAUCCCCAUCCUUGUCUCCAGCAGCCAGCAGUAUUUUGACUUCCUUAGCAGAUAGGUCUCUGGCAUCUGGGGAGAAGGCUUUCAGAAUGGAUCUGGAGGAGGAAAGGGAGAAAGUGGGGAGGGAGUCAGGCCAGGGUCGCCUUGCAGGAGCACCGUGUGGGUGGUGGGCUGGCGUCUGCA